UACGGAGGAGGUAAGCGUUAUCCGGAAUUAUUGGGCGUAAAGCGUCCGUAGGUGGUUGGCCAAGUCUGCUGUCAAAGGGUGGGGCUUAACCUCAUAAAGGCAGUGGAAACUGGCGAGCUAGAGUGCGGUAGGGGUAGGGGGAAUUCCCAGUGUAGCGGUGAAAUGCGUAGAGAUUGGGAAGAACAUCGGUGGCGAAAGCGCCCUGCUGGGCCUGCACUGACACUGAGGGGCGAAAGCUAGGGGUGCGAGAGGG
This 253-nucleotide ribosomal RNA is filed under the name uncultured bacterium. Its description in RNAcentral is "partial 16S ribosomal RNA". It matches the Rfam family "Bacterial small subunit ribosomal RNA", at positions 524 to 776 of the family's 1533-position model. The record is from RNAcentral.